UAAAAGUCAAGGAUGUUUGGAAUACAGGAG
This 30-nucleotide non-coding RNA is filed under the name Rattus norvegicus (Norway rat). The record is from RNAcentral. Lineage: Eukaryota; Metazoa; Chordata; Mammalia; Rodentia; Muridae.